Molecule: long non-coding RNA, 434 nt
Organism: Dama dama (fallow deer)
Lineage: Eukaryota; Metazoa; Chordata; Mammalia; Artiodactyla; Cervidae
Exons: 3
Source: RefSeq, a predicted model, not a curated record
CACACCACUGAACGGUGCUUCCUGUCCCCUGCAGAAUGUGAGCCCCGAGGGCAGGCUGGCACGCAUUUUGUCACCGUGUCCCCAACAAGAUGUUGCAUGAAGGUUCAUGUACCGGGUGGCUGGGGUUGUGGCCGGCUGCGCGGCAGACGCUGUCGGAGGUACCAGGUUCGGAGGCCUGGUGAGGAAAGGAGGUUUUAUGGAGAUAUAAUUGACACACAUCACUGUCUAAGUCCAAGAUAUGCAGCAUAAUGAACUGAUCAUCACAAGUACACCAUGUGAAAUGCUGGGCUGGAUGAAGCACAAGCUGGAAUCAAGACUGCCAGGAGAAGUAUCAAUAACUUCAGAUAUGCAGACGACACCACCCUCAUGGCAGAAAGUGAAGAGCCUCUUGAUCAAAGUGAAAGAGGAGAGUGAAAAAGUUGGCUUAAAGUUCA